GGACAAGGCGGUCCUGACUGUGAGGUCCAAGCGUCAUGAUUGACCAGCAGGUUUGGUUCCACUGAUCUGGCUGCCUCGGUGAGGCCCUCUCCCUCCCACAUGGCUCCAGGUGGGUCCUUCCCAAAGCUGCAUGCUCUGAUAGAGGAGGGCUGCCCCUUGGCCAGGGUCUCUGAGUAGCUGCAUUCCUCUGCUGGAGCUUCCAGUCAGGUUCUCACCACCAGUUGCGCGAGCAGAUGGGACUCAUCGCAAACCCUGUGGUCAGAGAAGAACGGUGCAUCAUGGGACUUUUACAACUCUCCUUUGGGGAGCCUUUCCUCCAAGG
RNAcentral lists this small nuclear RNA (322 nucleotides) under Echinops telfairi (small Madagascar hedgehog). Its description in RNAcentral is "7SK RNA (ENSETEG00000025889.1)". It matches the Rfam family "7SK RNA". Rfam says of the family: 7SK was discovered as an abundant small nuclear RNA in the mid-70s but a possible function has only recently been suggested. Lineage: Eukaryota; Metazoa; Chordata; Mammalia; Afrosoricida; Tenrecidae. The record is from RNAcentral.